RNAcentral lists this ribosomal RNA (484 nucleotides) under uncultured bacterium. Its description in RNAcentral is "bacterial SSU rRNA". It matches the Rfam family "Bacterial small subunit ribosomal RNA", at positions 30 to 507 of the family's 1533-position model. The record is from RNAcentral.
AUUAAACGCUGGCGGCAUGCCUUACACAUGCAAGUCGAACGGCAGCACGGAGGCAACCCUGGUGGCGAGUGGCGGACGGGUGAGUAAAGCAUCGGAACGUAUCCUGGAGUGGGGGAUAACGUAGCGAAAGUUACGCUAAUACCGCAUAUUCUGUGAGCAGGAAAGCAGGGGAUCGCAAGACCUUGCGCUCUGGGAGCGGCCGAUGUCGGAUUAGCUAGUUGGUGGGGUAAAGGCCUACCAAGGCGACGAUCCGUAGCGGGUCUGAGAGGAUGAUCCGCCACACUGGGACUGAGACACGGCCCAGACUCCUACGGGAGGCAGCAGUGGGGAAUUUUGGACAAUGGGUGCAAGCCUGAUCCAGCCAUGCCGCGUGAGUGAAGAAGGCCUUCGGGUUGUAAAGCUCUUUCGGCGGGGAAGAAAUUGCACGGGUUAAUACCCUGUGUAGAUGACGGUACCCGAAUAAGAAGCACCGGCUAACUACGUG